UGUGCCAAGGAAAACCGAAYGAAGCGUCCGCCCCCGGCAUCCCGUUCGCGGAGCGUGCCGCGGGAUCGGGCGUCUAUCAAAUGUCAAAACGACUCUCGGCAACGGAUAUCUCGGCUCUCGCAUCGAUGAAGAACGUAGCGAAAUGCGAUACUUGGUGUGAAUUGCAGAAUCCCGUGAACCAUCGAGUCUUUGAACGCAAGUUGCGCCCGAAGCCAUUAGGCCGAGGGCACGUCUGCCUGGGCGUCACGC
RNAcentral lists this ribosomal RNA (249 nucleotides) under Clinopodium speciosum. RNAcentral's name for it is "5.8S ribosomal RNA". The stretch from base 91 to 246 matches the Rfam family "5.8S ribosomal RNA". From Rfam's summary of the family: 5.8S ribosomal RNA (5.8S rRNA) is a component of the large subunit of the eukaryotic ribosome. It is transcribed by RNA polymerase I as part of the 45S precursor that also contains 18S and 28S rRNA. Lineage: Eukaryota; Viridiplantae; Streptophyta; Magnoliopsida; Lamiales; Lamiaceae. The record is from RNAcentral.